UUACUCAACACUGGAAGUCCCUACAUACGCUCUAUAAAUAUCCGAGUUCAUAACAAUAUAUUUUAUUGGUCAUAAAUAAAGCCAGUAUGAAAUACUUAGCAAUUAUCUUUAUUGCUGUGUUGUUUGUGUCAGUUGCCGCAACUGAAUCAGGUUGGCAACAAGCAGAGUCUAUGCCGAGACAUCUACGCGUUAAAAGAUCUUUUUGCAAAACGAAUAAAGAAUGCCAUGACUUUUGCACAAUACUACUUGCGUAUAAAAAGGGAACCUGUCAUCUCAUUUGCUUUUGUUCAUAAUGUUGUGUUCAAAGAGAAAUAAAUGAAAAUGCAAUUGU
Long non-coding RNA from Pieris rapae (cabbage white), 331 nucleotides. RefSeq lists it as uncharacterized. Lineage: Eukaryota; Metazoa; Arthropoda; Insecta; Lepidoptera; Pieridae. The transcript has 2 exons. The record is from RefSeq and is a predicted model, not a curated record.